RNAcentral lists this unclassified non-coding RNA (409 nucleotides) under Hevea brasiliensis (rubber tree). Lineage: Eukaryota; Viridiplantae; Streptophyta; Magnoliopsida; Malpighiales; Euphorbiaceae. The record is from RNAcentral.
GUCUGACCUUACAGGGCGUGACUCGUCGUCCUUAAAGCACUAAGUUAUUUACAGAUCUCAUCUAGCGCCCUAUCUAUCUUUAUCUUUCUCCUCUCGAGAACGGUAACAGGGUUUGAUCGAUAGCAACAAAAACAUCGGAAUAAGGAAGAUCAGCCUACCACACCCGCACAGUUUAGGAUAGUGGUGAACUUGUUAAUAACUACUUUGUCGGAGAUGCAUUCUUUUCUAUUGGCAGAGAUAGAGUGGGCACCAGGUUUUUCCUCAUCGACAAUGAGUUACACUGCUUAAAAUAAGAGCCCAAUGAGUUGGAGUGGAGAGUAACCAGCUCUCUUUUAUAUACGAAUAAAGAUCAGCCUUAUCGUUUGGGGACAUCAUUGGCUUCAUUCCUAUCCCAACUGUCGAAUCCAAA